GUGUGGGGUCCUAUCCACGGAUUCCGUGCCGCAGCUAACGCAUUAAGCGCCCCGCCUGGGGAGUACGGCCGCAAGGCUAAAACUCAAAGGAAUUGACGGGGGCCCGCACAAGCGGCGGAGCAUGCGGAUUAAUUCGAUGCAACGCGAAGAACCUUACCAAGGCUUGACAUACGCCGGAAACACUCAGAGAUGGGUGCCCCGCAAGGUCGGUGUACAGGUGGUGCAUGGUUGUCGUCAGCUCGUGUCGUGAGAUGUUGGGUUAAGUCCCGCAACGAGCGCAACCCUCGUUCUAUGUUGCCAGCGGGUCAUGCCGGGGACUCAUAGGAGACUGCCGGGGUCAACUCGGAGGAAGGUGGGGAUGACGUCAAAUCAUCAUGCCCCUUAUGUCUUGGGCUUCACGCAUGCUACAAUGGCCGGUACAAAGGGCUGCGAAACCGUAAGGUGGAGCGAAUCCCAAAAAGCCGGUCUCAGUUCGGAUUGGGGUCUGCAACUCGACCCCAUGAAGUCGGAGUCGCUAGUAAUCGCAGAUCAGCAACGCUGCGGUGAAUACGUUCCCGGGCCUUGUACACACCGCCCGUCACGUCACGAAAGUCGGUAACACCCGAAGCCGGUGGCCCGACCCCUUGUGGGAGGGAGCCGUCGAAGGUGGGGCUG
This 654-nucleotide ribosomal RNA is filed under the name uncultured bacterium. Its description in RNAcentral is "bacterial SSU rRNA". It matches the Rfam family "Bacterial small subunit ribosomal RNA", at positions 820 to 1470 of the family's 1533-position model. The record is from RNAcentral.